GUAAAUUUACCGCUUUUUUAAUCUGUUUUUUCCUGGAGUUUUUUUUUGCGGGGGGGGGGCGUUAAUACUGUCGCAGAGGAAAAGCUGCGAGGUCAUUGUAACUUUUGUUUCCCCCUUUCAUAGGAAAGCAAACGUUUAAAAAUAAAAUGUGAAACCAAUUUUGAACCCUGUCAGCAGCUUGAGGGUCUAAAAGAGUCACAGUGUGAACACCUUGAUUGGUGUGUAGCUUCUGCAACGCUGUGUGACCUUGGGCGAGUCAAUUAAGCUCUCGGGGCGUAUAUUUCACUUCCUCCUCAUAAAGAAGGAGGGAGAAUAUUGUAAUUAGUAGCAAGGGAAAGCUUGACACUGACCACCAAGGCUGCAAAUGUUGAUGGAAUGAAUUCCAGGUUUAGCAGGGAAUGUCUAUCCAGGUGAACUCCAUGAAACGAAUGAAGGCUCAUUAGGAGAAGGGGUGAGGAAUAAGCGACAUGAUGACUGAAAUGCUGGAAAAAUAAUAUUUUCAUCAUUGAAAACUUCUAGGGCUGACAAUGCAGCUCUGUUGGCAUAUUGCUUACCUAGCAUGCCUGAUGGAGCAUGUCUGUAAUUCCAGCACUCAGAAAACAGGCAGGGGCCUCUUUGUGAACAUGAGAUCAGCCUACUGUGGGGAGCUCCAGGCCAGCCAGAACUACAAACAAGACCUAGAGGACAUGUAACCAUAAAGAGACUCAACACUCAGGAGGCAGAGGCAGGCAGACCUCUGUGAGUCUGAGUCCAGCCUGGUCUACAAAGCAAGUACCCUGACAGCCAGAACUACAAAGAGAAACCUUGUCUGGAAGAAGAGGAGGGGCAGACUGAUUCAACCUUGUGUCCCUGGGUGGUCUUGAACUCUGAGAGAUCCAUCUACCUCUAAUCCUGACUUGUACAACUAAAGAAAGAUAAAGGACCUGCUAGUUGUUCAUUCCAGGAGACUGGAUGUCUCAGCUGUCACAAUUUGCUGCUAAGGUCAAGAAGUCCCAGAGAGCUGCUGGGUUUAGUCUUCCUUGGAAUCCUGAAGUAGUAGUUCUAAUACCACUGAAGAAAUACCUUAGGAAUGGAAUAGAUGGGAAAAGUGAAAGCUUCCUUCUUCCAGGUCCUUUUAUGUGCACUGCUAUCAGGAGAUGUGGCCCAGAUUCAGGAUGGAUCCUCUACCUCAAAUAAUCCAACCAAGACAAGAUCCUGAC
This 1199-nucleotide long non-coding RNA is filed under the name Cricetulus griseus (Chinese hamster). Its description in RNAcentral is "lncRNA (ENSCGRG00015037534.1)". Lineage: Eukaryota; Metazoa; Chordata; Mammalia; Rodentia; Cricetidae. The record is from RNAcentral.